RNAcentral lists this transfer RNA (77 nucleotides) under Iodidimonas nitroreducens. RNAcentral describes it as "Kordiimonadales bacterium JCM 17846 tRNA-His". It matches the Rfam family "tRNA". Rfam says of the family: Transfer RNA (tRNA) molecules are approximately 80 nucleotides in length. The record is from RNAcentral. Lineage: Bacteria; Pseudomonadati; Pseudomonadota; Alphaproteobacteria; Iodidimonadales; Iodidimonadaceae.
GCGGGCGUAGCUCAAUUGGUUAGAGCGCCUGGUUGUGGUCCAGGAGGUUGCGGGUUCAAGUCCCGUCGUUCGCCCCA